UUAAAUUUUGCAUGGGGUGCGACAACCAUCAAAAUUUUGGCGUCGUUGCCGGGGACCAACGGUUCGGUUUUAGGUCUUUUGUUGUGUUUGUGUGUGUUGUGUUUUGUCUCGUGUUGUGAGUGUGAUGUUCUGUUUUGUGUGUUCGUCAUUGUGUGUUGCAUUUAGGUAGCUUUAGUUGCAUAUUUUCAUUGCAUUCUUCUUUUCCCCCUUCUUUCCCAUGUCUACCUAUUUUGGUUAUGUGAGCAAUGCUUAUUCUGCCUGUGUCUAUG
This 269-nucleotide long non-coding RNA is filed under the name Vigna radiata. Its description in RNAcentral is "long non-coding RNA (VRAD_LNC013798)". Lineage: Eukaryota; Viridiplantae; Streptophyta; Magnoliopsida; Fabales; Fabaceae. The record is from RNAcentral.